RNAcentral lists this non-coding RNA (85 nucleotides) under pig gut metagenome. The record is from RNAcentral.
GCACAGGGGAGCUUUAUGGCUGAGAGGAAAUUUUGUUUCGACCCUAUAACCUGAUUUGGAUAAUGCCAACGGAGGGAGUUUUUAU